This 281-nucleotide ribosomal RNA is filed under the name uncultured archaeon. RNAcentral describes it as "partial 16S rRNA". It matches the Rfam family "Archaeal small subunit ribosomal RNA", at positions 347 to 631 of the family's 1478-position model. The record is from RNAcentral.
ACUUUGCAAUGCGGGAAACCGUGACAGGGGAACUCCGAGUGCCUGUUAAAUCGGGCUGUCCACCAGUUUAAAUAACUGGUGAAGAAAGGGCCGGGCAAGACCGGCGCCAGCCGCCGCGGUAAUACCGGCGGCUCGAGUGGUGGCCACUAUUACUGGGCUUAAAGCGUUCGUAGCUGGUUUGUUAAGUCUCUGGGGAAAUCUUCCGGCUUAACCGGAAGGCGUCUCAGGGAUACUGGCAGACUUAGGGACCGGGAGAGGUGAGGGGUACUCCAGGGGUAGGA